AGUCGAGCGGGGAAGGUAGCUUGCCACCUAACCUAGCGGCGGACGGGUGAGUAAUGCUUAGGAAUCUGCCUAUUAGUGGGGGACAACAUUCCGAAAGGAAUGCUAAUACCGCAUACGCCCUACGGGGGAAAGCAGGGGAUCUUCGGACCUUGCGCUAAUAGAUGAGCCUAAGUCAGAUUAGCUAGUUGGUGGGGUAAAGGCCUACCAAGGCGACGAUCUGUAGCGGGUCUGAGAGGAUGAUCCGCCACACUGGGACUGAGACACGGCCCAGACUCCUACGGGAGGCAGCAGUGGGGAAUAUUGGACAAUGGGCGAAAGCCUGAUCCAGCCAUGCCGCGUGUGUGAAGAAGGCCUUUUGGUUGUAAAGCACUUUAAGCGAGGAGGAAGCUACUUAGAUUAAUACUCUAGGAUAGUGGACGUUACUCGCAGAAUAAGCACCGGCUAACUCUGUGCCAGCAGCCGCGGUAAUACAGAGGGUGCGAGCGUUAAUCGGAUUUACUGGGCGUAAAGCGUGCGUAGGCGGCUUUUUAAGUCGGAUGUGAAAUCCCUGAGCUUAACUUAGGAAUUGCAUUCGAUACUGGGAAGCUAGAGUAUGGGAGAGGAUGGUAGAAUUCCAGGUGUAGCGGUGAAAUGCGUAGAGAUCUGGAGGAAUACCGAUGGCGAAGGCAGCCAUCUGGCCUAAUACUGACGCUGACGUACGACAAGAUGGGGGAGCAAACAGGAUUAGAUACCUUGGUAGUCCAUGGCC
RNAcentral lists this ribosomal RNA (748 nucleotides) under uncultured bacterium. RNAcentral describes it as "bacterial SSU rRNA". It matches the Rfam family "Bacterial small subunit ribosomal RNA", at positions 60 to 802 of the family's 1533-position model. The record is from RNAcentral.